GCAUCGUUGGCAGAAUGUCUAUUGCAGCGGUCUGUAAAUCCGUGCCCUUCGGGGUUGGUGGUUCAAAUCCAUCACGAUGCA
This 81-nucleotide transfer RNA is filed under the name Shigella phage SHSML-45. It matches the Rfam family "tRNA". From Rfam's summary of the family: Transfer RNA (tRNA) molecules are approximately 80 nucleotides in length. Their secondary structure includes four short double-helical elements and three loops (D, anti-codon, and T loops). Lineage: Duplodnaviria; Heunggongvirae; Uroviricota; Caudoviricetes; Demerecviridae. The record is from Rfam by way of RNAcentral.